UCGCUAGUAAUCGCGGAUCAGAAUGCCGCGGUGAAUACGUUCCCGGGUCUUGUACACACCGCCCGUCACACCAUGGGAGUCGGAAAUGCCCGAAGUCUGUGACCCAACCUUAGGGAGGGAGCAGCCGAAGGCAGGUCGGAUGACUGGGGUGAAGUCGUAACAAGGUAAC
Molecule: ribosomal RNA, 169 nt
Filed under: uncultured bacterium
Lineage: Bacteria
Description: partial 16S ribosomal RNA
Rfam family: Bacterial small subunit ribosomal RNA
Source: RNAcentral